RNAcentral lists this ribosomal RNA (503 nucleotides) under Acinetobacter baumannii Naval-18. RNAcentral's name for it is "bacterial SSU rRNA". It matches the Rfam family "Bacterial small subunit ribosomal RNA", at positions 31 to 528 of the family's 1533-position model. The record is from RNAcentral. Lineage: Bacteria; Pseudomonadati; Pseudomonadota; Gammaproteobacteria; Moraxellales; Moraxellaceae.
GAACGCUGGCGGCAGGCUUAACACAUGCAAGUCGAGCGGGGGAAGGUAGCUUGCUACCGGACCUAGCGGCGGACGGGUGAGUAAUGCUUAGGAAUCUGCCUAUUAGUGGGGGACAACAUCUCGAAAGGGAUGCUAAUACCGCAUACGUCCUACGGGAGAAAGCAGGGGAUCUUCGGACCUUGCGCUAAUAGAUGAGCCUAAGUCGGAUUAGCUAGUUGGUGGGGUAAAGGCCUACCAAGGCGACGAUCUGUAGCGGGUCUGAGAGGAUGAUCCGCCACACUGGGACUGAGACACGGCCCAGACUCCUACGGGAGGCAGCAGUGGGGAAUAUUGGACAAUGGGGGGAACCCUGAUCCAGCCAUGCCGCGUGUGUGAAGAAGGCCUUAUGGUUGUAAAGCACUUUAAGCGAGGAGGAGGCUACUUUAGUUAAUACCUAGAGAUAGUGGACGUUACUCGCAGAAUAAGCACCGGCUAACUCUGUGCCAGCAGCCGCGGUAAUACAG